AGAUUGAACGCUGGCGGCAUGCCUUACACAUGCAAGUCGAACGGCAGCACGGGAGCAAUCCUGGUGGCGAGUGGCGAACGGGUGAGUAAUAUAUCGGAACGUGCCCAGUCGUGGGGGAUAACGCAGCGAAAGCUGUGCUAAUACCGCAUACGAUCUAUGGAUGAAAGCGGGGGACCGAAAGGCCUCGCGCGAUUGGAGCGGCCGAUGUCAGAUUAGCUAGUUGGUGGGGUAAAGGCCCACCAAGGCGACGAUCUGUAGCUGGUCUGAGAGGACGACCAGCCACACUGGAACUGAGACACGGUCCAGACUCCUACGGAGGCAGCAGUGGGAAUUUUGGACAAUGGGCGCAAGCCUGAUCCAGCAAUGCCGCGUGCAGGAAGAAGGCCUUCGGUUGUAAACUUGCUUUAGUACGGUAACGAACGGUACUAGGUUAAUACCGUCGGUCUAAGUGACGGUACCGUAAGAAUAAGCACGGACUAACUACGUGCCAGCAGACCG
This 498-nucleotide ribosomal RNA is filed under the name uncultured soil bacterium. Its description in RNAcentral is "bacterial SSU rRNA". It matches the Rfam family "Bacterial small subunit ribosomal RNA", at positions 26 to 517 of the family's 1533-position model. The record is from RNAcentral.